GAUGAACGCUGGCGGCGUGCUUAACACAUGCAAGUCGAACGGUAAAGGCGGAGCUUGCUCUGCUGGAUCAGUGGCGAACGGGUGAGUAACACGUGAGCAAUCUGCCCCUGACUCUGGGAUAAGCGCUGGAAACGGCGUCUAAUACUGGAUACGAGCUGCGACGGCAUCUUCAGCAGCUGGAAAGUAUUUCGGUCGGGGAUGAGCUCGCGGCCUAUCAGCUUGUUGGUGAGGUAAUGGCUCACCAAGGCGUCGACGGGUAGCCGGCCUGAGAGGGUGACCGGCCACAUUGGGACUGAGACACGGCCCAGACUCCUACGGGAGGCAGCAGUGGGGAAUAUUGCACAAUGGGCGAAAGCCUGAUGCAGCAACGCCGCGUGAGGGACGACGGCCUUCGGGUUGUAAACCGCUUUUAGCAGGGAAGAAGCGAGAGUGACGGUACUUGCAAAAAAAGCACCGGCUAACUACGUG
Molecule: ribosomal RNA, 468 nt
Filed under: uncultured bacterium
Lineage: Bacteria
Description: partial 16S ribosomal RNA
Rfam family: Bacterial small subunit ribosomal RNA
Source: RNAcentral